CUAACUCUCACUAUCUUUUUCCCUUUCUAUCUCUUUUUUCUGCUCUCUUCUAUCUUUUCAUCUUACAUGCUCUCUCUCUCUCUUUUUUUACAGUAGUAGGCCUAGAGACACGUCGGCAGAUUGUUAAAAUAGAUCCUCCUUCAUCCUCAUCUCUACUCAUUUUACCACUAACUAUAUUGGAUAAACUAAUGACCGUUUACCUGAAAUAACAAUUUAACCAAAAAGGUAGACAAUUAAAGAAGGGUAACACUCAAAUUUAUUUAUGGUGUGGGAAAGGAGCAAACCAAUAGCUAUACUAGUUGUUGACCAUGGAUAAGGCGCAAAGAAUAAGGAUUGAAAAGAAAAGGAAAACCAGCUGAUUGUGAUACAACGAGAUACCAUCAUCAACAAUAGAUAUAUUGGCAUGAAAAGAAAUUAUAAAUUUUAUAAGAAAUGAUUCCGAUUUAUGAUGAGAUUUUUGGUAAAAGGCAACAAUAACACAAAAAGAGAGGAAUCACCGACAUGAUCGUCAUCAACAUCAUCAGUAUCAUUUAAAGGACAAUGUGAAGAUUCACAAAAAAAAAGAAGCAACCAAAGGAAGGAUGAAAGGAUAGAGAGGAAGGGGGAGGUUGAAAUGACAUGUAUGAAAUGUAUCUUGUUGACAAAGGAUAAGUAAAGGAGCCAGUAGCUAAUAUCAAACCAAGACCACCAUCAGUCAAUUUCAAACUCACCAGGGAAUCUUCUCUUCUUUUUUCAUCAUCCUUUCUUUAACUUAUUUCCCUGUAAUGUCUUCUUCUUCAUCGUCAUCAUCAUCUCCUUACCAUACCUUGUCUUGAGACGUUGAGACUUUAUAUACAAACAUUUACCAAAUGUAUACUGUGAAUGAUGAAUUUGUAAUAAUAUUAAAGUCAGGUCAACAGACAAGGUAGGUUAGGACGCUGAGCAGAGUUUUAUGUUGUUUUUUGUGUUUAUAUCUAUUUUUUAACUUUCUUUUUCCUCUCACUCUGUUUAUAUAUUGUUACUCCAAGUAGUAGUAGUCGUAAUCGCAGUCGUAGUGAUUGAAGAAGAUGAUAAUGAUGAUGAAAAAGAAGAAGAAAUCAGGAGAAGUUGAAAAAAUUUACAAAAAAAGUCUGCAUAACUGAAAGGUUGAAGAGACACGAUAGAUUAUUGAAGAUGGAUUUAAUAUGUUACUGUUUAAUGUAUUUAAAAUGUGGUAAACCAUUGGAAAGUCCUUGAUAAUCAAUAUCCAUCAUUAAUUUUCAUCCCUGUGAACUCAUCAAUAUUAAAUGUUAUCUGUUUAAGAAAUCUGAACACAAAAUAGAGAGAAAAGCUGAAAUAA
Long non-coding RNA from Tetranychus urticae (two-spotted spider mite), 1318 nucleotides. RefSeq lists it as uncharacterized. The record is from RefSeq and is a predicted model, not a curated record. NCBI's taxonomy places the organism in Eukaryota, Metazoa, Arthropoda, Arachnida, Trombidiformes, Tetranychidae.